CCGCGGCGCAUUAGCUAGUUGGUGAGGUAACGGCUCACCAAGGCCACGAUGCGUAGCCNACCUGAGAGGGUGAUCGGCCACAUUGGAACUGAGACACGGUCCAGACUCCUACGGGAGGCAGCAUUGGGGAAUAUUGCACAAUGGGCGGAAGCCUGAUGCAGCAACGCCGCGUGAGUGAUGAAGGCCUUCGGGUCGUAAAGCUCUUUGAUCAGGGAUGAUAAUGACAGUACCUGAAAAACAAGCCACGGCUAACUAC
RNAcentral lists this ribosomal RNA (256 nucleotides) under uncultured bacterium. RNAcentral's name for it is "partial 16S ribosomal RNA". It matches the Rfam family "Bacterial small subunit ribosomal RNA", at positions 231 to 504 of the family's 1533-position model. The record is from RNAcentral.